CAAAGACGACGACAGUACCGACCACCACUGGCAGAAUCAUUAUCGGCAGCAGCAACAGGAGGAGGAUGGUGAUACAUUGAACCGCAGGUAUGUAAAUCGCUCUUAACAGCAGGGAAGGAUUGGUUCACAUGAGCGCGCAGGAAAAAUUAUUACUGACUGUAUACAUCAUUUGAUUGAAAUUUGAAAACCGCCGAUUACUCGUCCGGGCGGAGGGUCCUCUGGAUGUGAAAGAUUGGUAAGAUUUGUCGGAGCCCUCCGGUACCUUGCCGGGCAACACCGACCGAUCGGGGUCUUUCUGGACGGGCUCGGGAAAAAGAAAACACUCAUUAAUCGGGCUUAA
Long non-coding RNA from Anopheles arabiensis, 340 nucleotides. RefSeq lists it as uncharacterized. The record is from RefSeq and is a predicted model, not a curated record. The transcript has 2 exons. Lineage: Eukaryota; Metazoa; Arthropoda; Insecta; Diptera; Culicidae.